This 59-nucleotide transfer RNA is filed under the name Diximermis spiculatus. RNAcentral's name for it is "tRNA-Lys". Lineage: Eukaryota; Metazoa; Nematoda; Enoplea; Mermithida; Mermithidae. The record is from RNAcentral.
UACUAACCAGUGUUUGAGCACUUUUAAUUUUUAAUUAAAAAGUAAAAAAUAGUUAUGAA